This 26-nucleotide unclassified non-coding RNA is filed under the name Mus musculus (house mouse). Its description in RNAcentral is "oocyte_clustered_small_RNA12859". The record is from RNAcentral. Lineage: Eukaryota; Metazoa; Chordata; Mammalia; Rodentia; Muridae.
UUCUCUAGCUCCUCCAGUUGGGGGCC